Molecule: long non-coding RNA, 5134 nt
Organism: Ictalurus punctatus (channel catfish)
Lineage: Eukaryota; Metazoa; Chordata; Actinopteri; Siluriformes; Ictaluridae
Source: Ensembl
UUCAGAGUGAUAUCGGCCGAUACCGAUAACCGAUAGUUUGGUGGUUCUGCCUUUUAUACCUUCUCUUAAAUGAAUAAUAAUGAAUUCCAAAAUUCUGAAAGAAAUGCAAAUAAAAGUCUUUAUUCUCUCCAUUUCAACAAGUUGUUUCACAGUAACUGGUCUCAUAAACAGAACACACAUCACUCUAAUUAACAUGAACACAUGAACUCAAUUCUGAAGAUUAAAUGAAGAUUUCUUAUCUUAUUGAAUGUUAUUAAUUCAUAUUAACAUUGACUGAGUUCUAAAAAAAACCCCUCCUGUUAGUCUCACAUUCACUCUCCACAAACAAAAGCAUUUCUACUUCAUCAUUAAUGUCAUAUAUAAUAUCAACUUUUUGAUAUAUUAACAUUAACUGGAUAUGAAACUCGCUACUCUACAAAUAUAUUUUUCUGUGCAAUAGAUACCUUUUUGUCAACUCCUCUUCGUUGAAAUCUUUCAUUAGUGUACCGGCCCUUUAAUUCAGCUCGAGCAGCUCGGCAAAAAAUAAAAAUUAGACUCGACAAACAAACUGCAGUUUUGUCGUCAUUCCACACAAGAGGCAUCUUCUUUACACACAGCACCAAAUCGAUGUGUUUUCCCGCCCUCUUUUGAUUGACAGGACAUAAUCGGCCCUGAUCAUCGGAUGUUUUUAAACGAUACCGAUUAUGGUCAUGAUCCUCUUCUGCUGAUUUGCGCAUGCACAGGAGUCCAAACAGUUCAAGUAAACAUUCAAAAAAAUUUUUUUUGUAGUUUUGUGAGCAAAAUAAUAGUAAAUUUAUCCUAGUAAACAAUUUAUAUAUAAAACAUAUAUACAAUUUGUGCUUUAACCACAUAUCGCAUAAAUUAAUUUAGUCCAGAACUUAAAACUUCGAAUUUAAUAUCAAUUUCUAAUAAAUUACUUUUUGAUGCAAAGUUUAGUUUUUGUCUUAUUCACCGAACCAUUAAAUAUCUUUUUUUCCCCAGUGUACAGUUGUACUACAGCAGACUAAUUAAUAUUACCUAAUUAUAUUUCGAUAGAUACCGUACAAUACAGAAUUCUUUCAUAUUCAUGUAAUAAUCGUAAUAAUCAGUGUAGCCUGCUAAUUAUAACGGCAUGUUCAGUUUAACGCUAGUCAUUACUUAGCAUGUCUACAGUGCUAGUUCCUGUCGUAGUAUCCUCAAUAUAAUGCGAGUUUUCUGCUUAGCAUGCUUAGUAUAAUCCUAGUUCCUGUACAAUCCUGUUUACGGUAAUGAUAGUUCAUUGUGUUUACUUUCAUGCAAUAAAAUGUUGUUUACUGCAAAGCAGGUUUCUAGAUUAGCAUGUGUGCUAUCAUACUAUUUUCUGUGUUGGACCUUUUUCUUAAGUUUUGUCAUCGUAAAAACCUAUGUCUCAAACAUUACAUAUACAGUAGCUCUAUGAUAAUCAGUUUCCUGUGAGAAAAAGGUGCGGUGAAAAAGUAUUUGCCCCCUCCCGAUUUCCGAUGUUUUUUUUUUUUGCAUGUGUCACACUAAACGGUUUCAUUCUUUCAAUGACAAUCAGGAUUUUCUGGUAGAGAGCAGAAUUCAUGUUUCUGUCAGUCAUUUCAAGUCACCCUUUGCGGCCCUGAUGGAGCAAAGCAUCCUCACACCAUCAUAUUACCACCACCGUGUUUGACUGUAUAUAUGAUGUUCUUGGUAAAAUAUGUUAGCUUUACACCAGAUGUAAUGAGAGCCAUGUCUUCCAAAAAGCUCCCAACUCAUCAGUCAACAGAACAUUAUCCCAAAUAAGCAUCGAUGUUUUUUAUUUUAUUUAUUUUUUCAAAUGUGAGAGGAGGCUUUAUGUUCCUCUUGGUUAGCUCUGGUUUUUGUCAACUCUUAUGCAUUGCAUUUCUGCCCAGUUUCUUUCGAAAAAGAAAACACUGACCUUAUCUGAGGUGAGCAAGGUCUGCAGAUCCCUAGACGUUUGUCUGGGUUCAUUUGUGACUUGCUGAAUGAGCGGUCAGUGUGCUCUUGGAGGAAUUUUGGUAGGCUGGACACUUCUGGGAAGAUUCACCACUGUUCCAGUGUUUUCACCAUUCGGAGAUAAUGGCUCUCACUGUGAUUCGCUGCAGUCGUGGAGCCUUAGAAAUGCUUUUAUCCAGACGGAUUAAUUAAAUAAUUAAUCGGUUAAUUAAAUAAAUAAUUAAACGGUUAUUUCAAUAACUUUCCUUCUCAGCCUUUCCGGAAUUCAUUUUGAUCGCUGGCAACAGUGUGCUGCUUGUUAGCAUUUAGCCUACUUAUUUUAAGUGAUGUUUAGAUUCAACAGGGCUGGCGGUUAUCAAGCUCGAGUGUGCCUAGUCUAAUUGAAUGCAAUUAUCAGUUAAUCCUGGUUAAUUAGUUGAUUGUGUAACUAAGGUGGCAAUUACUUUUUUUUUUUUUUACACACAGACAGCUGGUGUUGGAUAACGUAAUAAAUGAGACAAUCACUUAAAAACUACAUAUUGUAUGUAUAUCGUUGUUAUUGUCUUAUAUUAAACUGUUGUUUGAAUAUCUAAAGCAAUUAAGUUCCACACCUCAAGAAAUCAGGGAAAGGGCGAAUACAUUUUCACGGCACCGUAAACUAAUGACUUGAAUAGUAAAACUAACCUUAUAUUAAAUUAGAUUUUAAAUAUGGCUAUAAAAGGAUAAUUAUCGUUCAGAAAGGACAUAGUUUUGGAGCUAACCUUGCUAGAAAAAGAAAAGUCUAAAAGGGAGAUUGAGAAUUGUGCAUUACGUCUCAUUACAAAGAUUUGGCUCAUAAUUAAAAAAAAAAAAAAGACUAUGUGAGUGUGUCGUUAUAUUUUGUCAAGAAAUGUAAACACGGUUUAAUUAACUGAUAUAUAAAGAACUCACUGAGGUGUGCAUGCUUUAAUUGACAGUUUGAUGUAUGCAGAUGUUAUCAGGAUUUAAUCGAGUCUAUGGAAAUGACAAGAUAUAAAUACUAUGCCGUGUGUGCGUGUGUGUGUACGUGCGGGUGUGAGUGUGUGCAUGUGUAAGAUGCCGCUCCCUCCAUUCCAGUCGCCAUAGCAACCGUCAGACUCCUGCAGCACACAGCAGUUUCUCUUUUCCCCCAUCCCACCCCCAUUGUCCCAUCCCCCACUUGCGCCAAAUCUCUGUCUCACACUCGUUCUUUUUCGUCUGUCCCUCGCUUUCUGCAUGGGUAAGGGUUACGAUGCGGGGUGUGGUUAGCGUUAGCGUUAGGGGUGGAGUUAGGAGUUAGUUAGUCAUAGCUUUAAUUACAAGUUCGGUCAAUAUGAAAUCUGAAUUUCCAAAUUUCACUCACUUCAUAGUUACUAUAAAAUAAAUUGUGACGUUGGGAUGAUGUACGAUGUAUAUAUAUACAGUAUACACACACACACACACACACACACACACACACACACACAACACACACACACACACACCACGUUUCAAGAUAUACCUCAUUUCAACAUAUACAAUACCUCAUUUCAAAAGAUUAUGGACCUCAUUUUAGAAUAAACUUAAUGUAAACCUAAUUUCAACGUAUACCUCAUCUCAAGAUAUACCUCAUUUCAACAUAUACCUAAUUUCGACGUAUACCUCAUCUCAAGAUAUACCUCAUUUCAACAUAUACCUAAUUUCGACGUAUACCUCAUCUCAAGAUUUACCUCAUCUCAAGAUAUACCUCAUUUUAACAUUAAUUCAUCUCACAAUAUACCUGAUUUCAACAUAUGCCUAAUUUCAAUGUAUACCUCAAUUCAAUAUGUACCUCACCUCAAGAUAUACAUCAUUUCAGCAAUUACCACAUUUCAACAUGCGUCUAAUUCCAACGUAUAUCUCCUUCCAACAUAUAUCUCAAGAUAUCCUUCGUUUCAACAGGUCUAAUUUCAACAUAUACCGCAUAUCAAAACAGACCUCAUUAAAACAUAAAACUAAUUUCAAUGUAUACCUCAUUUCAUUGUAUAUGUCACGCUUUCGCCGGCAGAUGGCGCUGCGGUGUCGAUAUGCACCGGCGGCGUACACGAGAUUGAACUGUUGCCUAUGGACAUGUGCCUUUGUUUUGGUUUUGGUUCUCUUCCUGUUUAAGCAUUGGUUGAUGUUCAAGGGUGUGUCAUUAUUGAUCCCAGCUGUCUGUGAUCUAGCUUGAUUAUGUUUGGUAUUUAUAGCCCUCGUGUUACUUUGUACUUCGCGCAGUAUUACUUUAGUAACCGAAUGAAUGUAAUGGUGAACGCGUUACGUAUGCUAAGCGGUCUUGUUUUCGUGUCCUGCUCUCGUUCCAUGCCUCGACUUUAGUUUCCUGUUUAACCUCGAUGAUCUUGUCCUGUAUAGAUCGCGUUUUAUGUGUCUUGAUUUCUGUUGGUAAAUAAAGACGUUGAUCUGCUCUUGCUUCUGCCUCUGCUCCCAUUUUGUAACAGUAUACCUCAUUUCAUUUAAACAGCGCCUAACUAAUUUUACUGUAUGUCUCAUACACCUCAUUUCAGUAUAUGCCUUUUCAAACAUUAUUUCAAUUCAUAUAUAUACAUAAAAUAUGCUAAAAACUAUAGACCUAUGGUACAUAUACAAAAUGCAUGCACUGUUAUGAUAAUUCACUGUGUGAAUUUCAACACAGACAAUUUUCUGUGUGUAGACUUAUAAUGAUGUAUUUGGAAAUACGGAACAAUCAUGGCUAAAGUAGUUUAAAAAUGACUAAAAAGUAAGAUAAAAAAAAAUAUGAAUCAUCUGAACCACCAUUUUGUUCUGCCUUUCUUACUCACUAUGGAUCAGUGAGCAGAAGAAUGACUUUGAUUUAACGGAAAAGGCCAUCUGAGUGGAAUGGACAAUCUCUGUUCAAAAAUGCACUGAGUACUGUGGUAAAAUGUGCGGUUUCAUGGGUCUGAUCUCUCAAAAGCUUGAGUGUGAACAUUUCCUGGAACAAGUGAAGAAUGUAAACAUGGAAUAAAACCCCUUUCAGCUCUGCGUCAAUGGAAUAUCACUCAGUAUAGGUCCUUUUUAACAUACACAGCCUCUCAAACACUUCAGGACAUUACUGUCACACACACACACACACACACACACACACACACACACACACACACACACACACACACACACACACACGUGCGCGUACACAAUCUUCACUCAUAAUGCUACUACUGUACUGUAAAAUAAUGGGGCUACAGUCAGGUCUAAAUGUUAAUGU